CUACGGGAGGCAGCAGUGGGGAAUCUUGCACAAUGGGGGAAACCCUGAUGCAGCGACGCCGCGUGAACGAUGAAGCCCUUCGGGGUGUAAAGUUCUUUCGACGGGGACGAUAAUGACGGUACCCGGAGAAGAAGCUGCGGCUAACUACGUGCCAGCAGCCGCGGUAAUACGUAGGCAGCAAGCGUUGUUCGGAAUUACUGGGCGUAAAGAGUGCGUAGGCGGUUAACUAAGUUUGGUGUGAAAUCUCCCGGCUUAACUGGGAGGGUGCGCCGAAAACUGGCUAGCUAGAGUGUGGGAGAGGAUAGUGGAAUUCCUGGUGUAGCGGUGAAAUGCGUAGAUAUCAGGAGGAACACCUGCGGUGUAGACGGCUAUCUGGACCAUGACUGACGCUGAGGCACGAAAGCGUGGGUAGCAAACAGGAUUAGAUACCCCGGUAGU
RNAcentral lists this ribosomal RNA (438 nucleotides) under uncultured bacterium. Its description in RNAcentral is "bacterial SSU rRNA". It matches the Rfam family "Bacterial small subunit ribosomal RNA", at positions 339 to 794 of the family's 1533-position model. The record is from RNAcentral.